This 901-nucleotide ribosomal RNA is filed under the name unidentified archaeon. It matches the Rfam family "Archaeal small subunit ribosomal RNA", at positions 1 to 910 of the family's 1478-position model. The record is from RNAcentral.
UUCCGGUUGAUCCUGCCGGACCUGACUGCUAUCGGAUUGAUACUAAGCCAUGCGAGUCAUGUGUAGCAAUACAAGGCAUACGGCUCAGUAACGCGUAGUCAACCUAACCUAUGGACGGGAAUAACCUCGGGAAACUGAGAAUAAUGCCCGAUAGAACAUUAUGCCUGGAAUGGUUUAUGUUCCAAAUGAUUUAUCGGCCGUAGAUGGGACUGCGGCCUAUCAGUUUGUUGGUGAGGUAAUGGCCCACCAAGACUAUUACAGGUACGGGCUCUGAGAGGAGUAGCCCGGAGAUGGGUACUGAGACACGGACCCAGGGCCUAUGGGGCGCAGCAGGCGAGAAAACUUUGCAAUGUGCGAAAGCACGACAAGGUUAAUCCGAGUGAUUUGUGCUAAACGAAUCUUUUGUUAGUCCUAGAAACACUAACGAAUAAGGGGUGGGCAAGUCUGGUGUCAGCCGCCGCGGUAAAACCAGCACCUCAAGUGGUCAGGAUGAUUAUUGGGCCUAAAGCAUCCGUAGCCGGCUCUGUAAGUUUUCGGUUAAAUCUGUACGCUUAACGUACAGGCUGCCGGGAAUACUGCAGAGCUCGGGAGUGGGAGAAGUAGACGGUACUCGGUAGGAAGUGGUAAAAUGCUUUGAUCUAUCGAUGACCACCUGUGGCGAAGGCGGUCUACUAGAACACGUCCGACGGUGAGGGAUGAAAGCUGGGGGAGCAAACCGGAUUAGAUACCCGGGUAGUCCCAGCUGUAAACUAUGCAAACUCAGUGAUGCAUUGGCUUGUGGCCAAUGCAGUGCUGCAGGGAAGCCGUUAAGUUUGCCGCCUGGGAAGUACGUACGCAAGUAUGAAACUUAAAGGAAUUGGCGGGGGAGCACCACAAGGGGUGAAGCUGCGGUUCAAUUGGA